ACGUCAUCCCACACCAGAGAUGAGGUCAUCGCAGGCAGCGCUCGUCACGUGCGCGGCGCUAUGAUUGGCCACCGGGCCGCGGGGGGGGCGGGGCGAGGGAGGUGCGCAGCGCCGGGGGCUGGGCGAGGGCGGGCCUGACGGCAGCCGGGUCACCGCCACCGCUGCUGCCGCUGCCGCGUCCUCCCGCGCGCGCCUUCCGCUCGAGGUUCUUCCUCCUCCCGCGCCGCCCGCGCCCGCGCCCUCUCCCGACCCUAGGCGGGGUGCGCGUGCCCCACGGGCGGCCCUGAGGGGAAGCGGCAGCGAAGGCUACAGGGGCGCGCAUCGCGAGGGCGCACAAGAGGCGGCCCCGGUGGGCUUGGCUCCGCCGGGUCACGCGUCGGUGGGCUCGCCGGCUGGUGCCCCCGGCCCGGCGCGCUGCGCCGGCGCCUCCACUCGCCUCCUCGGAGGACGGUUCUCCGACGGCCGCGGCAUGGUACCCCAGGUACCUCCAGGUCCAGGUGCCUCCGGUCUCGCAGAUGCUUGUGGAGGCACGCGGGCUGCGACCUGCCGAGAAGAAUCGACCUGGGCGGUCCGGUCGUGGGUACCACUCAGGGCUGACUUGGGGUGGACGGGCCUCCAGGUUCCUUCCACUUGAACAGCCUACGUACUUUCAAGUCCUGGCUUUGUGCUGCCUGCAAAGUGUCUCAUCGGAACUAGCCCUGGAGCCUUGCAUGGAAACCGUGGUGCUUUGGAGAGGAUGCUCACAGAUCCAGAGGUCUGGUCGAAGGCAUGGAAGAGCCCCGUCCAGGGCAGUAGAGGCAAGUAUCCUGCCUCCUGAGGCCUGUGGGUGCCCAGAUCUCUGUUCCCACAGCGUA
RNAcentral lists this long non-coding RNA (854 nucleotides) under Bos indicus x Bos taurus (hybrid cattle). Its description in RNAcentral is "lncRNA (ENSBIXG00000027269.1)". The record is from RNAcentral. Lineage: Eukaryota; Metazoa; Chordata; Mammalia; Artiodactyla; Bovidae.